This 103-nucleotide ribosomal RNA is filed under the name uncultured bacterium. Its description in RNAcentral is "partial 16S ribosomal RNA". It matches the Rfam family "Bacterial small subunit ribosomal RNA", at positions 1384 to 1482 of the family's 1533-position model. The record is from RNAcentral.
UACACACCGCCCGUCACACCAUGGGAGCGGGUAUGUACCAGAAGUAGGUAGGCUAACUCGGCAAGAGGGGCCGCUUACCACGGUGCGUUUCGUGACUGGGGUG